Molecule: ribosomal RNA, 253 nt
Filed under: uncultured bacterium
Lineage: Bacteria
Description: partial 16S ribosomal RNA
Rfam family: Bacterial small subunit ribosomal RNA
Source: RNAcentral
UACGGGGGGUGCGAGCGUUAUCCGGAAUCACUGGGUUUAAAGGGUGCGCAGGCGGCCCGUUAAGUCAGGGGUGAAAUCCCGCCGCCCAACGGCGGAACUGCCCCUGAUACUGGGGGGCUGGGAUGGGCUCGAGGCCGGCGGAACGUGGCAUGUAGCGGUGAAAUGCUUAGAUAUGCCACAGAACACCGAUUGCGGAGGCAGCUGGCCAGGGCCCCAUCGACGCUGAGGCACGAAAGCGUGGGGAGCGAACAGG